RNAcentral lists this ribosomal RNA (450 nucleotides) under uncultured Diversispora. RNAcentral's name for it is "SSU rRNA". It matches the Rfam family "Eukaryotic small subunit ribosomal RNA", at positions 569 to 1022 of the family's 1831-position model. The record is from RNAcentral. Lineage: Eukaryota; Fungi; Glomeromycota; Glomeromycetes; Diversisporales; Diversisporaceae.
AGCAGCCGCGGUAAUUCCAGCUCCAAUAGCGUAUAUUAAAGUUGUUGCAGUUAAAAAGCUCGUAGUUGAACUUCGGGGUUUACCCAUUGGUCAGGCUUAAUUGUCUGUACUGGUGAGCUGAAUCUCUACCUUCUGAGGAACUUUCAUGCCAUUUAUUUGGUGUGAUGGGAAAUCAGGACUGUUACUUUGAAAAAAUUGAGUGUUUAAAGCAGGCUAACGUCUGAAUACAUUAGCAUGGAAUAAUGAAAUAGGACGGACUGAUUCUAUUUCGUUGGUUUCUAGGAUCACCGUAAUGAUUAAUAGGGAUAGUUGGGGGCAUUAGUAUUCAAUUGUCAGAGGUGAAAUUCUUGGAUUUAUUGAAGACUAACUACUGCGAAAGCAUUUGCCAAGGAUGUUUUCAUUAAUCAAGAACGAAAGUUAGGGGAUCGAAGACGAUCAGAUACCGUCGUA